Molecule: long non-coding RNA, 255 nt
Filed under: Mytilus galloprovincialis (Mediterranean mussel)
Lineage: Eukaryota; Metazoa; Mollusca; Bivalvia; Mytilida; Mytilidae
Source: RNAcentral
AGACGUCUUUAUUUGUAAAUUAAUACAACUUGUAAUUGUUGCUUUAUUAAGUUGAUGAUUAACAUGUCUUCCAUAUUUCAUAGUUGGUGCUUAGUGCGAUUAGCAUCUGCAACCUGACAAUAUAACGUUUAUGUCAUUAAUAAAAGGGAAUAACCAUUCAAUGACCCUGGUAUAAAAUCAAAUUUGAAAAAAAAACCAAUCUAUAAUCUUCAUGAUCAAAUUAGAUAUUAACAUUAGGGAUUACACUGUUCAAAU